Molecule: ribosomal RNA, 610 nt
Filed under: uncultured bacterium
Lineage: Bacteria
Description: bacterial SSU rRNA
Rfam family: Bacterial small subunit ribosomal RNA
Source: RNAcentral
GAGCCCGCGUUUCAUUAGCUGGACGGUGGGGUAACGGCCUACCGUGGCAACGAUGAAUAGCAGGCCUGAGAGGGUGGCCUGCCACACUGGGACUGGAACACGGCCCAGACUCCUACGGGAGGCAGCAGUGGGGAAUAUUGCGCAAUGGACGAAAGUCUGACGCAGCGACGCCGCGUGGAGGAUGAAGGUUUUCGGAUCGUAAACUCCAGUCAAGAGGGAAGAAACCUGUUGGAAAUAAUACUUCCAGCAAUUGACGGUACCUCUAGAGGAAGCACCGGCUAAUUCAGUGCCAGCAGCCGCGGUAAUACUGAAGGUGCAAGCGUUAAUCGGAAUCACUGGGCGUAAAGCGCUCGUAGGUGGCUUUGUAAGUCAGAUGUGAAAGCCCAGGGCUCAACCCUGGAAUUGCAUUUGAUACUGCAUCGCUAGAGUAUAGGAGAGGGAAGUGGAAUUUCUGGUGUAGGAGUGAAAUCCGUAGAGAUCAGAAGGAACACCCGUGGCGAAGGCGACUUCCUGGACUAUUACUGACACUGAGGAGCGAAAGCGUGGGGAGCAAACAGGAUUAGAUACCCUGGUAGUCCACGCCGUAAACAAUGAAUACUAGGUGCCGGGC